This 376-nucleotide ribosomal RNA is filed under the name uncultured bacterium. RNAcentral's name for it is "bacterial SSU rRNA". It matches the Rfam family "Bacterial small subunit ribosomal RNA", at positions 523 to 898 of the family's 1533-position model. The record is from RNAcentral.
AUACGAAGGGGGCUAGCGUUACUCGGAAUUACUGGGCGUAAAGGGCGCGUAGGCGGCUCUGUUAGUCAGGCGUGAAAUUCCCGGGCUCAACCUGGGGACUGCGCUUGAUACUGCGGAGCUUGAGGAUGGAAGAGGCUCGUGGAAUUCCCAGUGUAGAGGUGAAAUUCGUAGAUAUUGGGAAGAACACCGGUGGCGAAGGCGGCGAGCUGGUCCAUUACUGACGCUGAGGCGCGACAGCGUGGGGAGCAAACAGGAUUAGAUACCCUGGUAGUCCACGCCGUAAACGAUGUGCGCUGGAUGUUGGGUGACCUAGUCACUCAGUGUCGUAGCUAACGCGGUAAGCGCACCGCCCGGGGAGUACGGCCGCAAGGUUGAA